GCGGAAGGAUCAUUACCAAGAGAAAUCUUUCAACACUGAAAGAUCUUUUCCUUUGUGCUGGCUUUGACCGUAUGUAAUUUUGGGACUUUAAAAUGGUUCGCAAGGGCCGGUCCCAAAAACAAUAUAUCAUCCUUAUGAAAUUUUUUCUGAACAAUUAAACAAAUGAUUUUAAUAAUCUGUUUAAAACAACUUUCAACAACGGAUCUCUUGGUUCUCGCAUCGAUGAAGAACGCAGCGAAAUGCGAUACGUAAUGUGAAUUGCAGAAUUCAGUGAAUCAUCGAAUCUUUGAACGCACAUUGCACUCCUUGGUAUUCCGAGGAGUAUGCCUGUUUCAGUAUCAUGAGCACUCUCACACCUAACCUUUGGGUUUAUGGCGUGGAAUUGGAAUGCGCCGACUGUCAUGGUUGGCCCUUCUAAAAUGUAGUUCUUGGCUGUCACCUAAUACAGCAGUUUGGCCUAAUAGUUUUGGCAUUCAUUGUCAAAUCUUUGGCUAACAUUUGCUCCAGGAGUCAGUCUUGAUAAUACAGAAAACUCAUUCAAAUUUUGAUCUGAAAUCAGGUAGGGCUACCCGCUGAACUUAAGCAUAU
This 588-nucleotide small RNA is filed under the name fungal sp. JH 152. Its description in RNAcentral is "eukaryotic LSU rRNA". The stretch from base 188 to 341 matches the Rfam family "5.8S ribosomal RNA". The record is from RNAcentral. Lineage: Eukaryota; Fungi.